Ornithodoros turicata is the source of this 123-nucleotide long non-coding RNA. RefSeq lists it as uncharacterized. The record is from RefSeq and is a predicted model, not a curated record. The transcript is spliced from 2 exons. Lineage: Eukaryota; Metazoa; Arthropoda; Arachnida; Ixodida; Argasidae.
AGAGACCUACACGUCUUUUCCUGAUCACUAGUGUACACCAUGAUGCUUCUUCAGGAGCAGUUGUACUGAAACAGUGCGAAGAUCACCUAAUGUAGAUACGAAAUAAACAUAUUGUGUCAUGUA